RNAcentral lists this ribosomal RNA (497 nucleotides) under uncultured bacterium. RNAcentral's name for it is "partial 16S ribosomal RNA". It matches the Rfam family "Bacterial small subunit ribosomal RNA", at positions 28 to 507 of the family's 1533-position model. The record is from RNAcentral.
GAUGAACGCUGGCGGCGUGCCUAAUACAUGCAAGUCGAGCGAACGGACGAGAAGCUUGCUUCUCUGAUGUUAGCGGCGGACGGGUGAGUAACACGUGGCUAACCUACCUAUAAGACUGGGAUAACUUCGGGAGACCGGAGCUAAUACCGGAUGAUAUUUUGAACCGCAUGGUUCAAAAGUGAAAGACGUUCUUGCUGUCACUUAUAGAUGUAUCCGCGCUGCAUUAGCUAGUUGGUAAGGUAACGGCUUACCAAGGCAACGAUGCAUAGCCGACCUGAGAGGGUGAUCGGCCACACUGGAACUGAGACACGGUCCAGAAUCCUACGGGAGGCAGCAGUAGGGAAUCUUCCGCAAUGGGCGAAAGCCUGACGGAGCAACGCCGCGUGAGUGAUGAAGGUCUUCGGAUCGUAAAACUCUGUUAUUAGGGAAGAACAUAUGUGUAAGUAACUGUGCACAUCUUGACGGUACCUAAACAGAAAGCCACGGCUAACUACGUG